UUCUACAGUGAAAGACGGUCUUGCUGUCACUUAUAGAUGGACCCGCGCCGUAUUAGCUAGUUGGUGGGGUAACGGCCUACCAAGGCGACGAUACGUAGCCGACCUGAGAGGGUGAUCGGCCACACUGGAACUGAGACACGGUCCAGACUCCUACGGGAGGCAGCAGUAGGGAAUCUUCCGCAAUGGGCGAAAGCCUGACGGAGCAACGCCGCGUGAGUGAUGAAGGUCUUCGGAUCGUAAAGCUCUGUUGUUAGGGAAGAACAAAUGUGUAAGUAACUGUGCACAUCUUGACGGUACCUAACCAGAAAGCCACGGCUAACUACGUGCCAGCAGCCGCGGUAAUACGUAGGUGGCAAGCGUUAUCC
This 365-nucleotide ribosomal RNA is filed under the name Staphylococcus pseudintermedius. RNAcentral describes it as "bacterial SSU rRNA". It matches the Rfam family "Bacterial small subunit ribosomal RNA", at positions 193 to 546 of the family's 1533-position model. Lineage: Bacteria; Bacillati; Bacillota; Bacilli; Caryophanales; Staphylococcaceae. The record is from RNAcentral.